GGAUUGUCUCUCUGCGGUACGUCAUUGCUGCGGUUAUUAACCACAACACCUUCCUCCCCGCUGAAGUACUUUACAACCCGAAGGCCUUCUUCAUACACGCGGCAUGGCUGCAUCAGGCUUGCGCCCAUUGUGCAAUAUUCCCCACUGCUGCCUCCCGUAGGGGGGCGGGGGCGGCGGGCCGGGCGCGGGGCGCGGCGGGCG
RNAcentral lists this ribosomal RNA (201 nucleotides) under Salmonella enterica subsp. enterica serovar Typhimurium. RNAcentral's name for it is "partial 16S ribosomal RNA". Lineage: Bacteria; Pseudomonadati; Pseudomonadota; Gammaproteobacteria; Enterobacterales; Enterobacteriaceae. The record is from RNAcentral.